Molecule: ribosomal RNA, 668 nt
Filed under: uncultured bodonid
Lineage: Eukaryota; Euglenozoa; Kinetoplastea; Eubodonida; Bodonidae
Description: SSU rRNA
Rfam family: Eukaryotic small subunit ribosomal RNA
Source: RNAcentral
CAUCAGACGCAAUCUGCCGCAAAAAUGUUGCGGUCUCCGCAUAACGGAUAACUUGGCGAAACGCCAAGCUAAUACGUGAAUAGAGGGUGCCCUCCACUCACGCGGCCUUCACGGGUUGCAGCGAGGUGUGCCCUGCGAAUGAAUGAAAUUAAAACCAACGCGCCGCAAGGCGCAGCAACACCCAGAAGUGUUGAUUCAAUUCAUUCCGUGCGAAAGCCGGUUUACCGGCGUCUUCUGAUGAACAACUGCCCUAUCAGCCAGUGAUGGCCGUGUAGUGGACUGCCAUGGCGUUGACGGGAGCGGGGGAUUAGGGUUCGAUUCCGGAGAGGGAGCCUGAGAAACGGCUACCACUUCUACGGAGGGCAGCAGGCGCGUAAAUUGCCCAAUGACGAAAAAUGUUGAGGCAGCGAAAAGAAAUAGGUCUCCUAAGCGUCUCUAUGGCGCUUGGGAGUUGCAAUGGGGGAUAUUUACACCCAUCCAAUAUCGAGUAACAAUUGGAGGACAAGUCUGGUGCCAGCACCCGCGGUAAUUCCAGCUCCAAGAGCGUAUAUUAACGCUGUUGCUGUUAAAGGGUUCGUAGUUGAACUGAGGGCUGUCAAGGAGUCGGAUCCGUCCCAUCCACCGGAUCGGCGACCUCCGCUCUUGCAGCUCGUGAACGUCAGAAACAA